AGGGCACCACCAGGAGUGGAGCUUGCGGCUUAAUUUGACUCAACACGGGAAAUCUCACCCGGCCAGUACAUCGUAAGGAUUGACAGAUUGAAAGCUCUUUCAUGAUUCGGUGAAUGGUGGUGCAUGGCCGUUCUUAGUUCGUGGCGUGAGUCGUCUGCUUAAUUGCGAUAACGAGCGAGACUCCGAUUGUUAAAUAGCGCGGGGAUUGGCUUGCCCGUCCGCGUCGCUUCUUAACGAGAUUGGGCGCUUCAAGCGCCAAGAGAUGGAGCAAUAACAGGUCUGUGAUGCCCUUAGAUGUUCGGGGCUGCACGCGUGCUACAAUAGUAGCAACAACGGGAUUGUCCUCCUCCGAUAGGAGUUGGCAAACCGGUGAGAUGUUAUUAUGGCUGGAAUUGAGUGUUGAAAUUUUCUCUCAUGAACGAGGAAUUCCAAGUAAGCGCGAGUCAUAAGCUCGCGUUGAUUACGUCCCUGCCCUUUGUACACACCGCCCGUCGCUACUACCGAUUGAAUGAUUUAGUG
RNAcentral lists this ribosomal RNA (519 nucleotides) under uncultured eukaryote. Its description in RNAcentral is "bacterial SSU rRNA". It matches the Rfam family "Eukaryotic small subunit ribosomal RNA", at positions 1161 to 1703 of the family's 1831-position model. The record is from RNAcentral.